UCUUAAGUGGAGCUCUAACUUAUACCAUCAUCCUUAAUGUCCCGGUUUUCUUAUUUUGCAUGAUGAACAAGAGAAACCGCUGUGAAGUUACAGAGUCUCAUGCAAGAUGUUCAGCUCCCUCCACACCAAAUGCAGAGGGUGAACAAAAUGAAUCAAACAUCCAAUAUGCGGCGGUGAGACAAAGAAACAACCUUGAGACUGAAUGCACACUCAACUAUAAAGCAGUAGGAGUGUACGUGCUUCAAAGUGGUACGAAGCAGGCCUAUGAGACGCUGAGGUCAUUUUAUCACUUUCUCUUUCUUGUGACAUGUUACUUCGAACUGGAAUCACCUCAGACUGAUUUAACUGUAUUCAGAGGGGAAAAGUUACAUUUCCAUCAAAGUCUAAAUUAUUGUAUUUUCGUGCUUGUAUGUGAGAGAUAACUAUAUAUAUAGGCUGUUUUAUGAAGGAAAGGAAAAAAACUAAGGAAGGGAUGACGUAGAGAACAGUUACAGGACUAAAAAAGAUUUGUUCAUUU
Long non-coding RNA from Gasterosteus aculeatus aculeatus (three-spined stickleback), 517 nucleotides. RefSeq lists it as uncharacterized. The record is from RefSeq and is a predicted model, not a curated record. Lineage: Eukaryota; Metazoa; Chordata; Actinopteri; Perciformes; Gasterosteidae.